RNAcentral lists this unclassified non-coding RNA (345 nucleotides) under uncultured Glomeraceae. RNAcentral's name for it is "sequence contains 18S rRNA gene". Lineage: Eukaryota; Fungi; Glomeromycota; Glomeromycetes; Glomerales; Glomeraceae. The record is from RNAcentral.
CCCAACUAUCCCUAUUAAUCAUUACGUCAAUCCUAGAAACCAACAAAAUAGGAUCGAACGUCCUAUUUCAUUAUUCCAUGCUAAUGUAUUCAAGCGUUAGCCUGCUUUAAACACUCUAAUUUUUUCAAAGUAACAGUCCAGAUUCCCUGCAACACCAAAUUAAUGGCACUACAGUUCAUCAGGAAGGAGGAAUUAGUAAGACCAGUACAUGACCCGGCAGAGUCCAGUUCAUAACCAGCCUACUAAUCCCGAAAUUCAACUACGAACUUUUUAACUGCAACAACUUUAAUAUACGCUAUUGGAGCUGGAAUUACCGCGGCUGCUGGCACCAGACUUGCCCUCCAA